Molecule: ribosomal RNA, 620 nt
Filed under: uncultured bacterium
Lineage: Bacteria
Description: bacterial SSU rRNA
Rfam family: Bacterial small subunit ribosomal RNA
Source: RNAcentral
GCGAGGCGGAUGGGCUUGCCCAUCCAGUCGAGCGGCGAACGGGUGAGUAACGCGUGGAUAUCUACCCUUUGGUGGGGGAUAACCCGGGGAAACUCGGGCUAAUACCGCAUGACACCGUGAGGUCAAAGGGGGCCGCAAGGCUCCCGCCGGAGGAUGAGUCUGCGUCCGAUUAGCUAGUUGGUGAGGUAAUGGCUCACCAAGGCGACGAUCGGUAGCCGGCCUGAGAGGGUGAUCGGCCACACUGGAACUGAGACACGGUCCAGACUCCUACGGGAGGCAGCAGUGGGGAAUUUUGCGCAAUGGGGGAAACCCUGACGCAGCAACGCCGCGUGGAGGAUGAAGGUUUUCGGAUUGUAAACUCCUGUCAGUGGGGAAAAAGCGAGCUGACCUAAUACGUCAGUGAGUUGAUUGUACCCGCAGAGGAAGCCCCGGCUAACUCUGUGCCAGCAGCCGCGGUAAUACAGAGGGGGCAAGCGUUAUUCGGAAUUAUUGGGCGUAAAGGGCGCGCAGGCGGCCGCUCAAGUGGAAGGUGAAAUCCCCCGGCUCAACCGGGGAACUGCCUUCCAAACUGAGUGGCUUGAGUCCGGGAGAGGUGAGUGGAAUUCCCAGUGUAGCGGUGA